UCGAACGCGAAAGCCCCCUUCGGGGGGCAAGUAGAGUGGCGCACGGGUGAGUAACACGUAGGUAAUCUACCUUUGGAUGGGGAAUAACAACCGGAAACGGUUGCUAAUACCGCAUAAUGCAGCGGCACCUAAUGGUGACAGUUGUUAAAGCGGGGGAUCGCAAGACCUCGCGUCUGAAGAGGAGCCUGCGGCAGAUUAGCUAGUUGGUAAGGUAAAGGCUUACCAAGGCGAUGAUCUGUAGCCGGCCUGAGAGGGCGGUCGGCCACACUGACACUGACAUACGGGUCAGACUCCUACGGGAGGCAGCAGUCGGGAAUUUUGGGCAAUGGGCGAAAGCCUGACCCAGCAACGCCGCGUGAAGGAUGAAAUCCCUCGGGAUGUAAACUUCGCAAGAACGGGAAGAAUAAGUAAGAGCUAACAUCUCUUAUGAUGACGGUACUGUUUGUAAGCUCCGGCUAACUCCGUGCCAGCAGCCGCGGUAAUACGGGGGGAGCAAGCGUUGUUCGGAUUUACUGGGCGUAAAGGGCGCGUAGGCGGCCACCGCAAGUCGACUGUGAAAUCUCCGGGCUUAACUCGGAAAGGUCAGCCGAUACUGCGGGGCUAGAGUGCAGAAGGGGCAACUGGAAUUCUCGGUGUAGCGGUGAAAUGCGUAGAUUUCGAGAGGAACACCUGCGGCGAAGGCGGGUUGCUGGGCUGACACUGACGCUGAGGCGCGAAAGCUAGGGGAGCGAACGGGAUUAGAUACCCCGGUAGCCCUAGCCUUAAACGAUGAAUGCUUGGUGUCUGGGGUUUUAUAG
This 797-nucleotide ribosomal RNA is filed under the name uncultured Bacillota bacterium. RNAcentral describes it as "bacterial SSU rRNA". It matches the Rfam family "Bacterial small subunit ribosomal RNA", at positions 62 to 836 of the family's 1533-position model. The record is from RNAcentral. Lineage: Bacteria; Bacillati; Bacillota.